Molecule: ribosomal RNA, 253 nt
Filed under: uncultured bacterium
Lineage: Bacteria
Description: partial 16S ribosomal RNA
Rfam family: Bacterial small subunit ribosomal RNA
Source: RNAcentral
UACAGGGGGCGCGAGCGUUGCUCGGAAUCACUGGGCGUAAAGCGUACGCAGGCGGGCCGAUAAGUAUGUCGUGAAAUCCCAGGGCUCAACCCUGGAACGGCGAUGUAGACUGUCGGUCUUGAGUACGGGAGAGGGGAGCGGAAUUCCUGGUGUAGAGGUGAAAUUCGUAGAUAUCAGGAGGAACACCGGUGGCGAAAGCGGCUCCCUGGCCCGAUACUGACGCUCAUGUACGAAAGCGUGGGGAGCAAACAGG